Molecule: unclassified non-coding RNA, 263 nt
Filed under: Herpotrichiellaceae sp.
Lineage: Eukaryota; Fungi; Ascomycota; Eurotiomycetes; Chaetothyriales; Herpotrichiellaceae
Description: partial contains 5.8S ribosomal RNA, internal transcribed spacer 2, and large subunit ribosomal RNA
Source: RNAcentral
CGCAUAUUGCGCCCUUUGGUAUUCCGAAGGGCAUGCCUGUUCGAGCGUCAUUAUCACCCCUCAAGCCCCCGGCUUGGUGUUGGACUUCGUCGCAGACCUCCCCUGCGACGGGCCCCAAAGACAGUGACGCCGUCCCAGAGGGAACCGGUACGAGGAGCUUUCUAGUUAAGCAUGUACCCGGGAAGACUCUGCGGGCGGCGGUCUCCAACCUUUUUUAUUCAAGUGUUGACCUCGGAUCAGGUAGGGAUACCCGCUGAACUUAA